GACGAACGCUGGCGGCGUGCUUAACACAUGCAAGUCGAACGGAAAGGCCCUGCUUUUGCGGGGUGCUCGAGUGGCGAACGGGUGAGUAACACGUGAGUACCCUGCCCUUGACUUCGGGAUAACUUCAGGAAACUGGGGCUAAUACCGGAUAGGAGCUCCUGCUGCAUGGUGUGGGUUGGAAAGUUUCGGCGGUUGGGGAUGGACUCGCGGCUUAUCAGCUUGUUGGUGGGGUAGUGGCUUACCAAGGCAUUGACGGGUAGCCGGCCUGAGAGGGUGACCGGCCACAUUGGGACUGAGGUACGGGCCAGACUCCUACGGGGGGCAGCAGUGGGGAAUAUUGCACAAUGGGCGGAAGGCUGAAGCAGCAACGCCGCAUGCGGGAUGACGGCCUUCGGGUUGUAAACCGCUUUCGCCUGUGACGAAGCGUGAGUGACGGUAAUGGGUAAAGAAGCACCGGCUAACUACGUG
Molecule: ribosomal RNA, 468 nt
Filed under: uncultured bacterium
Lineage: Bacteria
Description: partial 16S ribosomal RNA
Rfam family: Bacterial small subunit ribosomal RNA
Source: RNAcentral